This 253-nucleotide unclassified non-coding RNA is filed under the name uncultured Alphaproteobacteria bacterium. Its description in RNAcentral is "contains 16S-23S intergenic spacer region". It matches the Rfam family "Bacterial small subunit ribosomal RNA", at positions 524 to 776 of the family's 1533-position model. The record is from RNAcentral. Lineage: Bacteria; Pseudomonadati; Pseudomonadota; Alphaproteobacteria.
UACGAAGGGGGCUAGCGUUGUUCGGAAUUACUGGGCGUAAAGCGCGCGUAGGCGGAUCAUUAAGUCGGGGGUGAAAUCCCGGGGCUCAACCUCGGAAUUGCCUCUGAUACUGGUGAUCUUGAGUCCGUGAGAGGUGAGUGGAACUCCGAGUGUAGAGGUGAAAUUCGUAGAUAUUCGGAAGAACACCAGUGGCGAAGGCGGCUCACUGGCACGGUACUGACGCUGAGGUGCGAAAGCGUGGGGAGCAAACAGG